RNAcentral lists this ribosomal RNA (440 nucleotides) under uncultured bacterium. RNAcentral's name for it is "bacterial SSU rRNA". It matches the Rfam family "Bacterial small subunit ribosomal RNA", at positions 338 to 794 of the family's 1533-position model. The record is from RNAcentral.
CCUACGGGAGGCAGCAGUGGGGAAUAUUGGACAAUGGGCGCAAGCCUGAUCCAGCAAUGCCGCGUGAGUGAAGAAGGCCUUAGGGUUGUAAAGCUCUUUCGGCGGGGAAGAUGAUGACGGUACCCGCAGAAGAAGCCCCGGCUAACUCCGUGCCAGCAGCCGCGGUAAUACGGAGGGGGCUAGCGUUGUUCGGAAUUACUGGGCGUAAAGGGCGCGUAGGCGGUGCGGUAAGUUAGGCGUGAAAGGCCCGGGCUCAACCCGGGAACUGCGCUUAAGACUGCCGUGCUGAGAGUCCGGGAGAGGAUGGCGGAAUUCCCAGUGUAGAGGUGAAAUUCGUAGAUAUUGGGAAGAACACCAGUGGCGAAGGCGGCCAUCUGGCCCGGUACUGACGCUGAGGCGCGAAAGCGUGGGGAGCAAACAGGAUUAGAUACCCCAGUAGU